This 219-nucleotide ribosomal RNA is filed under the name uncultured fungus. Its description in RNAcentral is "partial small subunit ribosomal RNA". The stretch from base 92 to 219 matches the Rfam family "Eukaryotic small subunit ribosomal RNA", at positions 738 to 864 of the family's 1831-position model. Lineage: Eukaryota; Fungi. The record is from RNAcentral.
GACCUGGUCGAGUGGUCCGCCUAACGGUGUGUACUGCUUGACUGGGCCUUACCUCUUGGUGAGCCGGCGUGCCCUUUAUUGGUGUGCGUCGGGGAACCAGGACUUUUACCUUGAGAAAAUUAGAGUGUUCAAAGCAGGCGCCUAGCGCCCGGAUACAUUAGCAUGGGAUAAUAGAAUAGGACGGCGGUUCUAUUUUGUUGGUUACCUAGGAUCGCAGUA